Long non-coding RNA from Myotis davidii, 1129 nucleotides. RefSeq lists it as uncharacterized. The transcript is spliced from 2 exons. NCBI's taxonomy places the organism in Eukaryota, Metazoa, Chordata, Mammalia, Chiroptera, Vespertilionidae. The record is from RefSeq and is a predicted model, not a curated record.
GUGUAGUGGGUCUGCGUGCGCGUGCGUGCGUGUUUACAUCUUUCUUUGCAACUCAGUUGGGAGCUGGCUCUGGCGGUGUUUAAUUGUGUCCGCGGCUGUUCGAUGUGCCAAGCAGAGCUGGCGAGGCCGUUGUUCCUGCUGCCCCCACCCCGCGGGCUGCUCCUGCAGGGAUGGGGGGGUGGGGGCAGGGCAGGGCCUCGCUCAGCUGGGGCCUCAGCUGUGUUGCUUGCUCCCUCCUCCUGAGCUUAUGGUGCCUCAGGGAUCCCGAGACCCCGAGAACAGACUGCUCCUCGCUCAUCGCCAGUGCUGCGGAGAGCUGCCAGGCAGCGCCCCACGCUGCGCCCAGUGGGCAUCUCCGGCCAGUCUCCCUGGGUUACACGGUUCUCGGCAUAGAAAUCAGUGUUCGCUUAUUUUUAAUACAUUCACUUAGUAGAUCGGGCGAGGCUGCAUGGCUGCGUAGGAGCAAAUGACUGGCUUUCUCCUUCGCCUCCUCUCUUUUGUGCCCUCCUGGCAGGGAGCACCAGGGAGGCAGCUCAGGGCCUGGGUGAACAGGGGAUUUGGAGCAGACAGCCCAGCUUGAACCUGCUCCUGACAUUUUCUGUUUGUGCCAAUGAAUAAGUCACUUAACGUCUGUGUUCCUCAAUGCAGUGUUUGUAAAGUGGGGAUGAUAAUAAUGAUACUACACUCCUCCAAGAUGGUCUAGGGGGUGAGAAAAUGCAUAUGGAAGCCUUUUGUAAAAUAUAAAUCACAGUUCUUUUAUUUUGCUGCUCAGAACAUGACUUGACCUGUGAGGUAACACGCCUAGCACCUGGACGGAGGGCGUCGUGAAACGACCUCGGAUGGGACUGGAGCGGGGACGAGCCUCCAACCUCCCUCCUGCUGUGGACCAAAGCCAUGACCCGGCAGGGUGGAUCCAAUCAUCUCCAGUGCUAAGAGGGUGAUGGUUCAGGGUGGAGCCCAGAGCGGACGGUGGGGCUCAGGUAAGUGUGACUGUGCUGUGAUCCGAGGUGUGGGAGGCCCAGGCCCUCCUCUGGGCCCUGCUGGUAAGUAGGGAUGUGGCCCUGAGAUGAGCUAAUUUAACUGGACCUCAAUUCCCUCGGGAUCGUGGAAUAAAAGCUCUCAAAGGUGA